AAGUUCGGCUGAUCGUAGGGGUCGAGCCGGGACACUGAGAAGUGAUCCUUCCACAGGUGACGCUUCUUUAAGCCUUAGCAGCCCGAAAGGGUGGCCCUCUACGACUUGAUAAAUAAGAAGAGGUGCCUGAAAUGCUAGUCAGCAUCGCAGCUGGCAACACCGUCAAAUUGCGGGAACCCCCUAAAGACUUCGCUACCAAGCAGCUCUGGGAUAACCAAGCUGUGGCCAGGGUAAUGACCUCGGGUAUGGUAACAACGCGCAAGUAUGAACCUCCAGUACUUGGGGGGGAAGAUGGGUAAUCCCUGCAGCCAAGUCCUCACCACCCUCGUAAGGGGGUGUUGGAUGCUGUUCACAGGCCAAAUGGUGGUAGGGUCGAUCUGAUAGAGAUCGGCUUAAGAUAUGGUCGGGCCCCUUGGGAAACCUUGGGGGUAGUCACCACGCAGUCAACUGGAGAUUGAGAGCGAUAAAGUGCAAAGCUUCUCUAUCAUGGGCGACUGCAAGAUUGCUCAGGAGUGUAUUGUGGUUUUGCCUCGCUCGAGGUCGCCCGUCACACCUGUGUCCCUAGCAUGACACUUUAACUGUUCCGUAGGUGAACCUGCGGAAGGAUCAUUAACGAGUUAGGGUCUCUCAGGCCCAACCUCCCAACCCUUUGUUUACUAGACCCUCUGUUGCUUCGGCGGACCCGUCUCAAGCGGACCGCCGGAGGACCGCCCACCGCGGCGUGCGUCCUCUGGCCAGUGUCCGCCGAUAGCCCCUUCAAACUCUGGAACACCAUGAUUUUACUGCCUAAGUGAUUUUUUAUUCAAUUAAAAAGCAAAAACUUUCCACCACGGAUCUCUUGGUUUCUGGCAUCGAUGAAGAACGCAGCGAAAUGCGAUAAGUAAUGCGAAUUGCAGAAUUCCAGUGAGUCAUCGAAAUCUUUGAACGCACAUUUGCGCCCUUUGGUAUUUCCGAAGGGCAUGCCUGUUCGAGCGUCAUUAUCGCCCCCCUCAAGCCCCGGUGCUUUGGCGUUGGACGGUUUGUUAAGAGUGCCUACCCCCUCCUAAAGGCAAUGACGGCGGCCCUCGUGGAAGCCCCCGGUACACUGAGCUUCUUAACUGAGCACGUUAUCGGAUAAGGGCGCCCGGGGCACGGUCUUCUCCCCCCUUCGGGGAAAUUUUCUCAAGGUUGACCUCGGAUCAGGUAGGAAUACGCGCUGAACUUAAGCAUAUCAAUAAGCGCAGGAAAAGAAACCAACAGGGAUUGCCUCAGUAACGGCGAGUGAAGCGGCAACAGCUCAAAUUUGAAAUCUGGCCUCUCGGGGUCCGAGUUGUAAUUUGUAGAGGAUGUUUCGGGUACCGCCUCGGUUUAAAUUUCUUGGAACAGAAUGUCAAAGAGGGUGAGAAUCCCGUCUUGGACCGGCGGUAGGGCCUAUGUGAAACUCCUUCGAAUCAAGAGUCGAGUUGUAUUGGGAAUGCAGCUCAAAAUGGGUGGUAAAUUUCAUCUAAAGCUAAAUAUUGGCCAGAGACCGAUAGCGCACAAGUAGAGUGAUCGAAAGAUGAAAAGCACUUUGAAAAGAGAGUUAAACAGUAUGUGAAAUUGUUGAAAGGGAAGCGCUUGCAACCAGACUUGAGCGCGGCGGUUCCCCCUUGCUUCUGCUUGGGUUACUCCGCCGUGUCCAGGCCAACAUCGGUUCUGGGGGUCGGUCAAAGGCCUUGGGAAUGUAUCUACCCCAUCGGAGACUUAUAGACCAGGGGUGUCAUGCGACCCUCCCGGGACCCGAUGGAACGCGCUUCGGCUCGAUGUGGCAUCUUU
RNAcentral lists this ribosomal RNA (1794 nucleotides) under Ascomycota sp. L277. RNAcentral's name for it is "eukaryotic LSU rRNA". The stretch from base 1169 to 1794 matches the Rfam family "Eukaryotic large subunit ribosomal RNA", at positions 1 to 635 of the family's 3401-position model. Lineage: Eukaryota; Fungi; Ascomycota. The record is from RNAcentral.